This 157-nucleotide small nuclear RNA is filed under the name Fukomys damarensis (Damara mole-rat). RNAcentral describes it as "U2 spliceosomal RNA". The stretch from base 1 to 74 matches the Rfam family "U2 spliceosomal RNA". Lineage: Eukaryota; Metazoa; Chordata; Mammalia; Rodentia; Bathyergidae. The record is from Rfam by way of RNAcentral.
AUCGCUUCUCGGCCUUUUGGCUAAGAUCAAGUGUAGUAAAAAUAAAAAAUAAAAUUUCAUUUUAAUAAAAUUCUGGUUGGCUUAUGUAACAUGCUAAAUUUUUUCUUAAAAGUAAACAUCAGGCAAAACUACUGGCUGGCCUUCCCUGAAACAAUGA